CCCUACGGGGGGCAGCAGUGGGGGAUAUUGCACAAUGGGGGGAACCCUGAUGCAGCGACGCCGCGUGGGUGAAGAAGUAUUUCGGUAUGUAAAGCCCUAUCGGCAGGGAAGAAAUUGGACGGUACCUGACUAAGAAGCCCUGGCUAACUACGUGCCAGCAGCCGCGGUAAUACGUAGGGGGCAAGCGUUAUCCGGAUUCACUGGGUGUAAAGGGAGCGUAGACGGCCAUGCAAGCCUGGAGUGAAAGCCCGGGGCCCAACCCCGGGACUGCUCUGGGGACUGAGCGGCUGGAGGUCGGGAGGGGG
Molecule: ribosomal RNA, 305 nt
Filed under: uncultured bacterium
Lineage: Bacteria
Description: partial 16S ribosomal RNA
Rfam family: Bacterial small subunit ribosomal RNA
Source: RNAcentral